AACGAACGCUGGCGGCAUGCCUAACACAUGCAAGUCGAACGAGACCUUCGGGUCUAGUGGCGCACGGGUGCGUAACGCGUGGGAACCUGCCCUUAGGUUCGGAAUAACUCCCCGAAAGGGGUGCUAAUACCGGAUAAUGUCUUCGGACCAAAGAUUUAUCGACUUUGGAUGGGCCCGCGUUGGUUUAGCUAGUUGGUAGGGUAAAAGCCUACCAAGGCGACGAUCCAUAGCUGGUCUGAGAGGAUGAUCAGCCACACUGGGACUGAGACACGGCCCAGACUCCUACGGGAGGCAGCAGUGGGGAAUAUUGGACAAUGGGCGAAAGCCUGAUCCAGCAAUGCCGCGUGAGUGAUGAAGGCCUUAGGGUUGUAAAGCUCUUUUACCCGGGAUGAUAAUGACAGUACCGGGAGAAUAAGCUCCGGCUAACUCCGUG
RNAcentral lists this ribosomal RNA (433 nucleotides) under uncultured bacterium. RNAcentral describes it as "partial 16S ribosomal RNA". It matches the Rfam family "Bacterial small subunit ribosomal RNA", at positions 29 to 507 of the family's 1533-position model. The record is from RNAcentral.